This 306-nucleotide long non-coding RNA is filed under the name Olea europaea subsp. europaea. Lineage: Eukaryota; Viridiplantae; Streptophyta; Magnoliopsida; Lamiales; Oleaceae. The record is from RNAcentral.
CCACCAUCUUCAACCAAGUUCGAAAUUUUUGAAAAGUCUCAGAUUUAGACUUCAAUGGAUAGGUCCAAACUUUUCUAGAGUAGUCGUCAACUAUAGAAAGAAAGUACUUAUUCCCUCCAAAUGUAGGAUGACUUUCUGGUCCCCAUAAAUCUGAGUGGACAUAGUCUAGAGGCCUAGAGGUGGUAUGUGAUCCAGUCUCAAAGCUCACCCUAUGUGACUUGCCCAACACACAUGUUUCACAAAAUUCAAGAGGCUCAAUCGUAUCCUUCCCAAGCAACUUUUGAUUACUUAGAUACUUUAAACCUU